CCACCGGAGCUUGCUCCACCGGAAAAAGAGGAGUGGCGAACGGGUGAGUAACACGUGGGUAACCUGCCCAUCAGAAGGGGAUAACACUUGGAAACAGGUGCUAAUACCGUAUAACAAUCGAAACCGCAUGGUUUUGAUUUGAAAGGCGCUUUCGGGUGUCGCUGAUGGAUGGACCCGCGGUGCAUUAGCUAGUUGGUGAGGUAACGGCUCACCAAGGCCACGAUGCAUAGCCGACCUGAGAGGGUGAUCGGCCACAUUGGGACUGAGACACGGCCCAAACUCCUACGGGAGGCAGCAGUAGGGAAUCUUCGGCAAUGGACGAAAGUCUGACCGAGCAACGCCGCGUGAGUGAAGAAGGUUUUCGGAUCGUAAAACUCUGUUGUUAGAGAAGAACAAGGAUGAGAGUAACUGUUCAUCCCUUGACGGUAUCUAACCAGAAAGCCACGGCUAACUACGUGCCAGCAGCCGCGGUAAUACGUAGGUGGCAAGCGUUGUCCGGAUUUAUUGGGCGUAAAGCGAGCGCAGGCGGUUUCUUAAGUCUGAUGUGAAAGCCCCCGGCUCAACCGGGGAGGGUCAUUGGAAACUGGGAGACUUGAGUGCAGAAGAGGAGAGUGGAAUUCCAUGUGUAGCGGUGAAAUGCGUAGAUAUAUGGAGGAACACCAGUGGCGAAGGCGGCUCUCUGGUCUGUAACUGACGCUGAGGCUCGAAAGCGUGGGGAGCAAACAGGAUUAGAUACCCUGGUAGUCCACGCCGUAAACGAUGAGUGCUAAGUGUUGGAGGGUUUCCGCCCUUCAGUGCUGCAGCUAACGCAUUAAGCACUCCGCCUGGGGAGUACGACCGCAAGGUUGAAACUCAAAGGAAUUGACGGGGGCCCGCACAAGCGGUGGAGCAUGUGGUUUAAUUCGAAGCAACGCGAAGAACCUUACCAGGUCUUGACAUCCUUUGACCACUCUAGAGAUAGAGCUUCCCCUUCGGGGGCAAAGUGACAGGUGGUGCAUGGUUGUCGUCAGCUCGUGUCGUGAGAUGUU
RNAcentral lists this ribosomal RNA (1028 nucleotides) under Enterococcus faecium. RNAcentral describes it as "bacterial SSU rRNA". It matches the Rfam family "Bacterial small subunit ribosomal RNA", at positions 69 to 1076 of the family's 1533-position model. Lineage: Bacteria; Bacillati; Bacillota; Bacilli; Lactobacillales; Enterococcaceae. The record is from RNAcentral.